Molecule: non-coding RNA, 71 nt
Organism: Agrilus planipennis (emerald ash borer)
Lineage: Eukaryota; Metazoa; Arthropoda; Insecta; Coleoptera; Buprestidae
Source: Rfam
UAGUAGGAACCCGUAGAUCCGAACUUGUGUUUCUAUGGCCUCACAAGUUCGUAUUUAACGGGACCUACUAC